UGGCGGCGUGCCUAACACAUGCAAGUCGAGCGAGAAUUCAUUGACGGAUCCUUCGGGAUGAAGAUAAUGAAGGAAAGCGGCGGACGGGUGAGUAACGCGUGAGUAACCUGCCUUCAGGAGGGGGACAACAUCUCGAAAGGGGUGCUAAUACCGCAUAAUAUUGUUUUAUCGCAUGGUAGAACAAUCAAAGAUUUAUCGCCUGAAGAUGGACUCGCGUCUGAUUAGCUAGUUGGUGAGGUAAUGGCUCACCAAGGCGACGAUCAGUAGCCGAACUGAGAGGUUGAUCGGCCACAUUGGGACUGAGACACGGCCCAGACUCCUACGGGAGGCAGCAGUGGGGGAUAUUGCGCAAUGGGGGAAACCCUGACCCAGCAACGCCGCGUGAAGGAAGAAGGCCUUCGGGUUGUAAACUUCUUUUACCAGGGACGAAGAACGUGACGGUACCUGGAGAAAAAGCCACGGCUAACUACGUG
This 473-nucleotide ribosomal RNA is filed under the name uncultured bacterium. RNAcentral describes it as "bacterial SSU rRNA". It matches the Rfam family "Bacterial small subunit ribosomal RNA", at positions 37 to 507 of the family's 1533-position model. The record is from RNAcentral.